GUACUCACUUGGGCAGCAGAUAUACUAAAAUUACAAUGAUACAGAGAAGAUUAAUAUGACCCUGCACAAGGAUGACACGCAAAUUCGUGAAGUGUUCCAUAUUUUU
This is a small nuclear RNA of Capra hircus (goat), 106 nucleotides long. Lineage: Eukaryota; Metazoa; Chordata; Mammalia; Artiodactyla; Bovidae. The record is from Ensembl.